Podarcis lilfordi (Lilford's wall lizard) is the source of this 77-nucleotide non-coding RNA. The record is from the annotation of a GenBank genome assembly. Lineage: Eukaryota; Metazoa; Chordata; Lepidosauria; Squamata; Lacertidae.
ACCUCCAGACUUAGCUCAGUUGGUAGGGCACGCGUCCCUUAAUCUCAGGGUUGUGGGUUUGAGCCCCAUGUUGGGCA